RNAcentral lists this long non-coding RNA (385 nucleotides) under Homo sapiens (human). RNAcentral describes it as "HSALNT0322668". The record is from RNAcentral. Lineage: Eukaryota; Metazoa; Chordata; Mammalia; Primates; Hominidae.
UCUUACCAAGGCUAGAGUACAGUGGCACAGUCAUAGCUCACUGCAGCCUUAAACUCCCAGACUCAGGCAAUGGAUCCGAUCCUCCCACCUCAGCCAGCCUCCCAAGUAGCUGAGACUACAGGAAGAUCUGGCAAGAGUUAGCAUGCAGGUCUACAUUGUGACAAUCCAUGAGAGCUAAGGACUGGCUGUCUCUUGGGACAAAUAGGCUUUCUUGAGUCUGGAUGUCCGCUCUGCUUGUCUUACCGCAUGAGAGAGUGCAGAUGUUCCUGAAAGCAUCUUUGCGUGGAUUUGCUUGAAGCGAGAUGUGAGAGAAGGGGCAAAGCUCGAAGGGAGCUGCUAGAGAGAGAGGAAAGCAGCUGGACAGGGCUUUCCUGAUGACUGAAAU